This 946-nucleotide ribosomal RNA is filed under the name Salmonella enterica subsp. enterica serovar Paratyphi B var. L(+) tartrate +. RNAcentral describes it as "partial 23S ribosomal RNA". It matches the Rfam family "Bacterial large subunit ribosomal RNA", at positions 1213 to 2141 of the family's 2925-position model. Lineage: Bacteria; Pseudomonadati; Pseudomonadota; Gammaproteobacteria; Enterobacterales; Enterobacteriaceae. The record is from RNAcentral.
CUUAUGCGUUGUUGGGUAGGGGAGCGUUCUGUAAGCCUGUGAAGGUGUGUCGUGAGGCAUGCUGGAGGUAUCAGAAGUGCGAAUGCUGACAUAAGUAACGAUAAAGCGGGUGAAAAGCCCGCUCGCCGGAAGACCAAGGGUUCCUGUCCAACGUUAAUCGGGGCAGGGUGAGUCGACCCCUAAGGCGAGGCCGAAAGGCGUAGUCGAUGGGAAACGGGUUAAUAUUCCCGUACUUGGUGUUACUGCGAAGGGGGGACGGAGAAGGCUAUGUUGGCCGGGCGACGGUUGUCCCGGUUUAAGCGUGUAGGUGUGUGUUCCAGGUAAAUCCGGUUCACUUUAACACUGAGGCGUGAUGACGAGGCACUACGGUGCUGAAGCAACAAAUGCCCUGCUUCCAGGAAAAGCCUCUAAGCAUCAGGUAACAUCAAAUCGUACCCCAAACCGACACAGGUGGUCAGGUAGAGAAUACCAAGGCGCUUGAGAGAACUCGGGUGAAGGAACUAGGCAAAAUGGUGCCGUAACUUCGGGAGAAGGCACGCUGACACGUAGGUGAAGUGAUUUACUCAUGGAGCUGAAGUCAGUCGAAGAUACCAGCUGGCUGCAACUGUUUAUUAAAAACACAGCACUGUGCAAACACGAAAGUGGACGUAUACGGUGUGACGCCUGCCCGGUGCCGGAAGGUUAAUUGAUGGGGUCAGCGCAAGCGAAGCUCCUGAUCGAAGCCCCGGUAAACGGCGGCCGUAACUAUAACGGUCCUAAGGUAGCGAAAUUCCUUGUCGGGUAAGUUCCGACCUGCACGAAUGGCGUAAUGAUGGCCAGGCUGUCUCCACCCGAGACUCAGUGAAAUUGAACUCGCUGUGAAGAUGCAGUGUACCCGCGGCAAGACGGAAAGACCCCGUGAACCUUUACUAUAGCUUGACACUGAACAUUGAGCCUUGAUGUGUAG